Orcinus orca (killer whale) is the source of this 9110-nucleotide RNA transcript. It is a transcript of the gene named ATP binding cassette subfamily C member 1, with no coding region annotated. The transcript has 33 exons. The record is from RefSeq and is a predicted model, not a curated record. Lineage: Eukaryota; Metazoa; Chordata; Mammalia; Artiodactyla; Delphinidae.
CCGCCGCCGCCGCCGCCGCCGCCGCCGCCGCCAGCAGCCGGGCUAGUCCGUCCGCCGCUCCCCGCCGUGCCCGAGCCGGCCGCAUGGCGCUCCGCGGCUUCUGCAGCGUCGAUGGCUCAGACCCCUUCUGGGAGUGGAAUGUCACGUGGAACACCAGCAGCCCCGACUUCACCAAGUGCUUUCAGAACACCGUCCUCGUGUGGGUGCCUUGCUCUUACCUUUGGGCCUGCUUCCCCUUCUACUUCCUCUAUCUCUCCCGCCAUGACCGGGGCUACAUUCAGAUGACACAUCUCAACAAAGCCAAAACUGCCUUGGGAUUUUUGCUAUGGACCGUCUGCUGGGCAGACCUCUUCUACUCUUUCUGGGAAAGAAGUUUGGGCAAGCUCCUGGCCCCAGUGUUUCUGGUCAGCCCAACCCUCUUGGGCAUCACCAUGCUGCUUGCUACCUUUUUAAUUCAGAUCGAGAGAAGGAGGGGAGUUCAGUCCUCAGGAAUCAUGCUCACUUUCUGGCUUAUAGCCCUACUGUGUGCCCUGGCCAUCCUGAGAUCCAAAAUCAUGACUGCCUUAAAAGAGGAUGCCCAAGUCGACGUCUUUCGCGAUGUCACUUUCUACAUUUACUUCUCCCUCGUGCUGAUCCAGCUUGUGUUGUCCUGCUUCUCAGACCGCUCACCCCUGUUCUCCGAAACCAUCCACGAUCCCAAUCCUUGCCCAGAAUCCAGCGCCUCCUUCCUUUCCAGGAUCACCUUCUGGUGGAUCACAGGGAUGAUGGUCCAGGGCUACCGCCAACCCCUGGAGAGCACUGACCUCUGGUCCCUGAAUAAGGAGGACACGUCAGAACAAGUUGUGCCCGUUUUGGUAAAGAACUGGAAGAAGGAAUGUGCAAAGUCCAGAAAACAGCCGGUGAAGAUCGUGUACUCCUCCAAGGAUCCCGCCAAGCCGAAAGGGAGUUCCAAGGUGGAUGUGAACGAGGAGGCCGAGGCUUUGAUCAUCAAGUCCCCCCAGAAGGAUUGGAACCCGUCCCUGUUCAAGGUGUUAUACAAGACCUUUGGGCCCUACUUCCUCAUGAGCUUCUUGUUCAAGGCUGUGCACGACCUGAUGAUGUUUACCGGCCCAGAGAUCUUAAAGUUGCUCAUCAGCUUCGUGAACGACAGGAAGGCCCCAGACUGGCAGGGCUACUUCUACACGGCGCUGCUGUUCGUCAGCGCCUGCCUGCAGACCCUCGUGCUGCACCAGUACUUCCACAUCUGCUUCGUCAGCGGCAUGCGGAUCAAGACCGCCGUCAUCGGGGCUGUGUACCGGAAGGCCCUGGUGAUCACCAAUUCAGCCAGAAAAUCGUCCACCGUCGGGGAGAUCGUCAACCUCAUGUCUGUGGAUGCCCAGAGGUUCAUGGACCUGGCCACGUACAUUAACAUGAUCUGGUCAGCUCCUCUGCAAGUCAUCCUUGCCCUCUACCUCCUGUGGCUGAACCUGGGCCCCUCCGUUCUGGCUGGAGUGGCUGUGAUGAUCUUCAUGGUUCCCCUCAAUGCAGUGAUGGCCAUGAAGACCAAGACCUACCAGGUGGCCCACAUGAAGAGCAAAGACAAUCGGAUUAAGCUGAUGAAUGAAAUUCUGAAUGGGAUCAAAGUGCUAAAACUUUACGCCUGGGAGCUGGCAUUCAAAGAUAAGGUACUGGCCAUCAGGCAGGAGGAGCUGAAGGUGCUGAAGAAAUCUGCCUACCUGGCCGCCGUGGGGACCUUCACCUGGGUCUGUACACCUUUCCUGGUGGCCUUGUGCACGUUUGCCGUCUACGUGACCAUCGACAAGAACAACAUCCUGGAUGCCCAGAAGGCCUUCGUGUCCUUGGCCUUGUUCAACAUCCUUCGCUUCCCCCUGAAUAUUCUCCCCAUGGUCAUCAGCAGCAUCGUGCAGGCGAGUGUCUCCCUCAAGCGCCUCAGGAUCUUCCUCUCCCACGAGGAGCUGGAACCCGACAGCAUCCAGCGAUGGCCCAUCAAAGACGCUGGGGCCACAAACAGCAUCACUGUGAAGAAUGCCACGUUCACUUGGGCCAGGAGCGACCCUCCCACGCUGCAUGGCAUCACUUUCUCCAUUCCGGAAGGUUCCCUGGUGGCCGUGGUGGGCCAGGUGGGCUGUGGGAAGUCGUCUCUGCUCUCAGCGCUCUUGGCUGAGAUGGACAAGGUGGAGGGACACGUGGCUAUCAAGGGUUCAGUGGCCUACGUCCCCCAGCAGGCCUGGAUUCAGAAUGUUUCUCUCCGAGAAAACAUCCUUUUUGGACGCCAGCUACAGGAACGGUAUUAUAAGGCUGUGAUAGAAGCCUGUGCCCUCCUCCCAGACCUGGAAAUCCUGCCCAGUGGGGACCGGACAGAGAUUGGUGAGAAGGGCGUGAACCUGUCUGGCGGCCAGAAGCAACGCGUGAGCCUGGCCCGGGCCGUGUAUUGCGACUCCGACAUCUACCUCUUUGACGAUCCCCUCUCGGCAGUGGACGCCCACGUGGGGAAGCACAUAUUUGAAAACGUGGUUGGCCCCAAGGGGAUGCUGAAGAACAAGACGCGGAUCCUGGUCACGCACGGCAUCAGCUACCUGCCCCAGGUGGAUGUCAUCAUCGUCAUGAGUGGUGGCAAGAUCUCCGAGAUGGGCUCCUACCAGGAGCUGCUGGCCCGGGACGGGGCCUUUGCCGAGUUCCUGCGCACUUACGCCAGCGCCGAGCAGGAGCAGGGGGAGCCCGACGACGGCACCAGUGUGAUGGAUGAGGAAGGCUUAGCAGGUGUUGGCAGGCCAGGGAAGGAGAUGAAGCAGGUGGAGAACGGCAUGCUGGUAACGGACGCUGUGGGGAAGCAACUGCAGAGACAGCUCAGCAGCUCCUCCUACGGCGGGGAUGUCAGCCGGCACCACACCAGCACCGCGGAGCUGCAGAAGCCCAGGCCCGUGGAGGAGGACACCUGGAAGCUGAUGGAGGCAGACAAGGCUCAGACUGGGCAGGUCAAGCUCUCCGUGUACUGGGACUACAUGAAGGCGAUAGGACUUUUCAUCUCCUUUCUGAGCAUCUUCCUUUUCCUGUGUAACCACGUUGCUUCUCUGGCCUCUAACUAUUGGCUCAGUCUCUGGACUGAUGACCCCAUCGUCAAUGGGACCCAGGAGCACACGAAAGUCCGGCUGAGCGUCUAUGGAGCCCUGGGCAUUUCUCAAGGUAUCACAGUGUUCAGCUACUCCAUGGUGGUGUCCGUCGGGGGCAUCUUCGCCUCGCGCCGCCUGCACCUGGACCUGCUGCAUAACGUCCUCAGGUCGCCCAUGAGCUUCUUCGAGCGGACCCCCAGCGGGAACCUGGUGAACCGCUUCUCCAAGGAGCUGGACACAGUGGACUCGAUGAUCCCGCAGGUCAUCAAGAUGUUCAUGGGCUCCCUGUUCAAUGUCAUUGGCGCCUGUAUCAUCAUCCUGCUGGCCACUCCCAUGGUGGCCGUCAUCAUCCCGCCCCUGGGCCUCAUCUACUUCUUUGUCCAGAGGUUCUACGUGGCCUCCUCCCGGCAGCUGAAGCGCCUCGAGUCAGUCAGCCGCUCCCCGGUUUAUUCCCACUUCAACGAGACCUUGCUGGGGGUCAGCGUCAUCCGUGCCUUCGAGGAACAGGAGCGCUUCAUCCGCCAGAGCGACCUGAAGGUGGACGAGAACCAGAAGGCCUAUUACCCCAGCAUCGUGGCCAACAGGUGGCUGGCUGUGCGGCUGGAGUGUGUAGGCAACUGCAUUGUCCUGUUUGCCGCCCUGUUUGCAGUGAUCUCCCGGCACAGUCUCAGUGCUGGCUUGGUGGGCCUCUCGGUGUCUUACUCACUGCAGGUCACCACAUACUUGAACUGGCUUGUUCGGAUGUCGUCCGAGAUGGAGACCAACAUUGUGGCCGUGGAGAGACUCAAGGAGUAUUCAGAGACUGAGAAGGAGGCUCCCUGGCGAAUCCAGGAGAUGGCACCCCCCAGCAACUGGCCCCAGGUGGGCCGAGUGGAGUUCCGAGACUACGGCCUGCGUUACCGAGAGGACCUGGACCUGGUUCUCAAGCACAUCAACGUCACCAUCCAUGGAGGGGAGAAGGUUGGCAUCGUGGGGCGGACAGGAGCUGGGAAGUCAUCCCUGACCCUGGGCUUGUUUCGUAUCAACGAGUCUGCCGAGGGAGAGAUCAUCAUUGACGAUGUCAACAUUGCCAAGAUUGGCCUGCACGACCUCCGCUUCAAGAUCACCAUCAUCCCCCAGGACCCCGUUUUGUUUUCGGGUUCCCUCCGCAUGAACCUGGACCCAUUCAGCCAGUAUUCAGAUGAAGAGGUCUGGACGUCUCUGGAGCUGGCCCACCUGAAGGGCUUCGUGUCGGCCCUUCCCCAUAAGCUGAACCACGAGUGCGCAGAAGGCGGGGAGAACCUCAGCGUUGGGCAGCGCCAGCUUGUCUGCCUGGCCCGGGCCCUGCUGAGGAAGACGAAGAUCCUUGUGUUGGAUGAGGCCACGGCGGCUGUGGACCUGGAAACGGAUGACCUCAUUCAGUCCACCAUCCGGACGCAGUUUGAUGACUGUACCGUCCUCACCAUUGCUCACCGGCUCAACACCAUCAUGGACUACACGAGGGUGAUUGUCCUGGACAAAGGGGAGAUCCGCGAGUGUGGUCCUCCCUCCGGCCUCCUGCAACAGAGAGGUCUCUUCUACAGCAUGGCCAAAGACGCUGGCUUGGUGUGAGCCCAGAGCUGGUGCAGCUGCUCAGAACUGCAGGGCCGACAUGCCAGCAGCCAGGGAUCAGUCGGCAUCCUUGGGAACCCAAGCCUCGCGUAGACUGAAACCAAAAAAAAAAAAAGAACAACCCAAAACCAAAACACACAGAAAGCAGCCACCCUCUGGCCCCCUGCCUGGAAUUGGCUGUGAAGAAACAGGAGAGACACAGGGAUGCAGUGCCCCCAAAACACGCACAUCCUUGCCUCUGUUACCCCCACAGACGCACACAUGUUCUCACGCCCCUGGGAGGGCACAUGUGCUCUCCGUGCUCUGUGGGGAGGUUUGGGCCGCCAGACUUCCAGAGAAAUCGGUUGCAUAAAACAUGCUAGUGACCAAAUCCAGCCAACUGCCUCAGACCUCUCCAGCCGAAGUCUGCAGGUUCCAAGCUUUCGAGAAGCUCCCUUGUCCCCGGCACCUCUCUGUCCUUGCCUGGCUCUACCCAGAUGCUUGUUUCCCCAAGGCUGCAGUUUGGAGGUGAGGGGCCUGGUGAAGGUCAUUUUCACUCUCAGGCAGUGUCCUGAGGGGCAUGGACGCGCUUCUCACCAGCCAUCUGGUCUUCUGGGUGCUCAGACGUGGGAACCAGUGUCACAGCGCUGCCUCCACCGGGACUUGCUUCAUGGACCAGAGGCCGCAUGUCUCCCAGUGCUUCUCGUUGACGGGACUGGGCUGGCCUCCGGGUGACCUGGCCCUGGAGCUCCAGGCCGGGAGAGCUCUCUCAACGCCGACUUCCCCGCUUGACUGCUCACCUCGUCACCCGCUCCCGUCUUUGCCUUGCCUUCCUUCCUCCCUCUUUCUACCUGUAGCUAGAAUGGGUUUAUGCCUUCAGGUGCCCGAAAGAGAAGACCUGGUCAUGGUUAUUCAGCAUUCAAAGCCAAGAGCGCUGGUGCCUCCAGGUGUGAGCAGUUGGUACUGAAAAGAGCCCCGUUGAGUCUCCUCCUUGUUCUUAGAGUUCAGUUUCUCACCCGGGGCCUCUGGUUGGCUGUCAGGGGCGGCGGGGUGGAGAACUUGACUUACGGUUACUGAGUCUCUUCUGGGACAAGAAAAGAACCCAUUCAUGAGUGUCAGUGAUUUUCUUUUUCUUUUUUUUUUUUUUAAGUACUGCUCUAGGGAGAAAAACAGUCUCAAGACUUUAAUUUCUUGGGAGGAAGUACUGGGCCGAGGAGCAGCAUCCCAGGGAAAGGCCAGGUUGGCUCAGCAUCUGGUGGUUGGUCCCUGUGUUCCUGGAAGGAAACGGGCAAGUGGGGUCCUUUCUUCAAAGCCCUGUAGGUCCCUUGAUUGGAGACCAAAGUGAGACCCAAAAAGCAAAGAGAGGUCACGGCUGCCCCAGGAUUCAUGCUCGCUAUGUGAAUUACGUUGCUGACUUCAAGCCAGAGAAGCAUCUUUCUUCUUUUGGGUGGAAAUACAUAUUUAUUUUUUCGAAGGUUCCUGCCGUCUCUCCAGGAGUCGGGAUGGGGCACCCUCUCAUCUGCUGCUGUUCUUUCUCCUUGGCGAGCAUGUUGUUUCUAGCGGGAGCUCUUGGAAUUGGGAACCUAGAGAUUAAGAAUCAGGUGGGGUUUGGUGGGGAAUCGGUGUAGCACAGUGGACAGGGUCCUGCCCUUGUCAUCUGCAGGCUGUGUGACCCUAGGCAGGUCACUUAGUCUUCGUGCCUCAGUUGCUUCGUCUGUAAAAUGGGGCUGAUCCCUGCCUCCUGGGCUUGUUGUGAAGAUGAGCACUGAUGUGUGUGUUACGUGCAUGGCCCAGGUUGGGUUCUAAGACACAGGCGAGGCAAACAUCACACAUGGCAAGAAUUAGCCUUGGAAAUCCCUUUGUGGUGUUAGGCCAGGCUAGGCUAUGCUGCAGUAACAAAUUGGCCAUAAACUCUUGGGACAUGAAUACAAGGGUGUAUUUCUCAUAUAUUUCUUGAUGAGAAUCAGGCGCCUCUCCUUUGGUACGAUGACUGACAGAUCCAGACUGUUCUGGUUUUAUGACAUCGCCUCUCGGGGGCUGGCUUCUGGGUCACCACAGCUGGGGAAGGGAAGUUGUGGACGACUCACACCCACUGUUACGUAUCUCAAACCAGAAAUGACACAAGUCAGUUCCACUCACAGCCUGUUGGCCAGAAUUAGUCACAUGGCCCCACCAGGCCACAAAGGAGGCAGGAAAUGCAGGGACACAUAAGGAAGGAAGCCCCUUCCUGUGGUAACUGAUGUCAUUUCUCAGUUUUGGAUAGUGGGGGAGGAAGACCGGGGUGUUGGGAUCUGAGUUCGUAUUGGUGAGUCUGGACAGUGAGGAAUGCCAGGAUUUGGGGAGCACACACCCCAGGACCAUGCUCCAAGGACACAUGCAGGUGGAGCGGCCAGCGCUGGCUGCGUGUCCCCUACCCGCCCCCCGCCUCCAGGCUGCCUUGUCUGAGGAGCUGGGAGGUGAAGGUGCUCAAUGAAAAGCAGCUGCGAGGUUGUCACCCUUAGAAUGAGAAGCACUUGGAUGUGCCUUGUGGGGAGUCGACUUUAGAUGUGGGUGUGUUUCUGUCUCAGGGCCUGGCCCUGAGUAUUAAAAUCCUGGGUCAGAUGCUAAAUGAGUGUGCGAUCGGCGUGUGCCUUCCACGUCAGGAAGAGGGGCGGGUGCAGCAUUAACCCUGAAGAGAGUGAGCCAGGGUGUGGAGGGGGGUGGGAGGGGGCCUGCACACCUGCUCUUCCAGGUGAGUGCCCCAGCGCCAUGGAAGAAGGGGAGAAGCAAGCUUUGUUGUGCACCUGCUGCGUGCCAGGCCCGGGGCUCAGCGCUUUGCACAGCUCUCCUCGUGGGAAAGGAGCCCCGGGCCAGAGAGCAUCCCCAGCAACGCUUGCCUGCUCACCUCGCUGCUCUUCUUCCAACCUCAGGGUCCUCUCUCUCUUCCCAGACGUCUGCGUCACCUGCUCCUUUCCCUAUUUGACAGGGGCAGCUCUGUGCAAGCAAGGCUGUAAUCUCUUUAUUUCUUGCUGAAGGCUCAUCUCUAGAGCAGGGCAUGUGGCACGUGCUUAGUGACUGCAUUCUCCAACCUGGGACUGUGCUGUCCCUGUGCCGGGCCGGAACCCAGAGUGAAGUCACUCGGGCCCUAGAACUUGCCCUUCCGGAGUUGCAGCUUCCUUGCUGGUACAACUGGGAUCUUUGUAGCCACCUGGCCAGGUGGCUGUGAGGAUGAAGACAGCCAUGCCUUGCCCUUAGGAUGCCUUCAUAUGUGGUGAUGCCGUCCAUGCAUUCAUUUGUCUGUUCAUCCAUCCACCUAUUCAUUCCCUCCAUCCAUCCAGUCAUACAGUCAGUAUCUAUUGACCCCUCCUACGUGCUGUGUACCACGCUGGGUGCGAGGGAAAGCACAGCCAAUACAAAUGCACAGAUCUCUCGUCUCAGUUCAAGAAGGAAAGGAGCCCUUUCCUUCCCUUCUGGUGGGAUUCUAGAGUGGAAUUCAGCUCUUAUCCAUGAGCGAUGUGCUAGAGCUAAAGGAAUGUGCGAGAGGGAGUGUGGUACAGUGGUUAGGACGUGGGCGGCUCUGGCACCAGCCUUCCUGGGUUCAGAUCCCUACUUGCUUACACUCUGUCUCAGUUUUGUCACCUGUAAAAGGGGCCUAAUGAUAGUACCUUCCUCAGCACAGCAUCCUAGUAAGGUGUGGGGUGACUACUGGAAGCUAGUCACCCUCCGAUUGUGAGGAUUAACUGGGUGACAGGCAUUUAGAGCAGGGCUUUGUGUUUGCUGUGACCAGUGGGACUCGGGUGAGGUUUAAGGACUUACCGAGAGAGGCACUGACCAAGGAAGGUCUGUACACAGCUUUCCUGCCUCUUAGCUGUGCUCACUCGCCAGCCAGGCGCUGCUGGCAGGAGCCACAGCCAGAGGAUUAAUGGCCCGGGUGGCCCGCGGGCUGAUGUCCAAGGAGCCAUGGGGUGGGCCCAACAUCAGCCUUGUUAGUGGGCUCUUGCGGGCGCUGGUUCCACGGCCCACACUCUGCUUCCUGGCAAAACACCUCCCUCCAUGAAGGAGGCUCUUGUGGCCCUGGAACAACACCACGUGACCAUGCCAAGCACACAGCUGCCACCUUUGCCUGCAGUCGCUCUGCCAGGGCAUCAGCUGACUCGGCUCCAGGAGGAGACAUGAGAAGUGCUGUGUCUGGCCUCUUCCCGCGCCUCGCAGUAGGACAGACACCCACACAAGAUGACUUGGACUUUGGUGUUAGGCCCAAGGGGAGAUCCCCGCUCUGCCACUUACUAGCCAGGUGGCCUUGCCAGGUCACGUCCACUCACCGAGCCUCAGUUUUCUCAUCUGCAAGAUGGAGCAAAAUCACUAGUAAUGAUGGCAUUUUGUUGGCAUGACAGGGGGUGGGCAAGGGAUGCAGGCCCCUACCCCAUUUUGAAGGUAUCAAAAUGAACUAUG